AAAGACUAAUGUUUAACAAAUUUUUAAUUGCACGAAUUAAUAUUGUUAUUUAAUAACAUAAACGGUAUGUAUCUGUUUCUAUUGUGUACUCUUUCACACACAGGAAAUGCAAAUAGAAGUGCAAAUGGGCCUUGCUUCUCACCCACACUAUAAUAUUUUCAUUUUGUGCAUACCUGAUGUAAUUCAAGAGUAGACAACUAUAUGCAUGGUUAGAAGAAAAUAAAUUUGGCAAAAAAAAGCAUCUAUGUGAGUUGGAAGAGUCCAAAACAGAAUAUGUGAAUAUAUAAACGGACGAAUUAUACAUGCGAAACGCACCUGAAAAUGGCAAAUGUGGUAGAAAUUAAACAAGAAACACAACUUUUUAAAUAUAUCCCUUCAUGUGGAUCAAUAUUUCGAGAUAUUAUAAACGAAAUGCUUAGAUAUUUUACAGAGAUGGAAAUGGCGAUGAAAAUUCUUUGAGAAGUUAAGUAAAUACCGAAGUGAAUGUCGUAUAGUCCAAUACUAAUAAUAUUCUAAUAUUCCAUCUAA
This is a long non-coding RNA of Stomoxys calcitrans (stable fly), 528 nucleotides long. RefSeq lists it as uncharacterized. The record is from RefSeq and is a predicted model, not a curated record. Lineage: Eukaryota; Metazoa; Arthropoda; Insecta; Diptera; Muscidae. The transcript is spliced from 4 exons.